Molecule: ribosomal RNA, 158 nt
Filed under: Hygrocybe coccinea
Lineage: Eukaryota; Fungi; Basidiomycota; Agaricomycetes; Agaricales; Hygrophoraceae
Description: 5.8S ribosomal RNA
Rfam family: 5.8S ribosomal RNA
About the family: 5.8S ribosomal RNA (5.8S rRNA) is a component of the large subunit of the eukaryotic ribosome. It is transcribed by RNA polymerase I as part of the 45S precursor that also contains 18S and 28S rRNA. Functionally, it is thought that 5.8S rRNA may be involved in ribosome translocation.
Source: RNAcentral
CAACUUUCAACAAUGGAUCUCUUGGCUCUCGCAUCGAUGAAGAACGCAGCGAAAUGCGAUACGUAAUGUGAAUUGCAGAAUUCCGUGAAUCAUCGAAUCUUUGAACGCACCUUGCGCCCCUUGGUAUUCCGAGGGGCAUGCCUGUUUGAGUGUCAUUG